RNAcentral lists this long non-coding RNA (727 nucleotides) under Phoenix dactylifera (date palm). RNAcentral's name for it is "long non-coding RNA (PDAC_LNC018914)". Lineage: Eukaryota; Viridiplantae; Streptophyta; Magnoliopsida; Arecales; Arecaceae. The record is from RNAcentral.
GUGAAGAAGGUAUUUUGCAAGCUCCUAUUGUUAAAACAUUUAAUUCUUAAUAACUAAUGUGUGAAAUACUUACUAUUCUUAUUUUUCAAUUUCAUGCUUAAGCGGUGAAGAACUACAACUAUUUUAUUAGUCUUUUUACAUAGUUUGGAAAAGUUCCAUGGAUUUGGUAAUUUUUUCUACUGCAUCAUAUAGCAGGCUACUUUUUUGACUUUGUUCCUUCUAUUCCCUGCUUUGUCGACCUUGAAAUUGAUUUACUUGGCCAUCCUGUAACUAAAAUCUGCAGUUCCAGUUUUUUAUGCUAAAAUGAACCAAAUUAAAAAUUCUAAUUUUAGCAUGAUUUUUCUGUUAUCACCUUUGAAAAAGAUAACCAAAUUUUUCUGCAACCUUUUCUUCGUAGGUCUUAGAAGCAUCUGAAAAAUGCCAUACUUGGAAAGCGCCAUGGAAAACACUUCCACCUCAGCCCCCCACCCAACCAAGAAGAAAAGGAAAAAUAGAGAGAACAUGCAUGCAUAGAGCAAUUCUACAGAAUAGAUCCUGCAUUGCAAGAAGAUGCUGUAUCGAUUAAGCACUCGAUUUCGGUAACACACCAUCGAUAUCUAUAAAAUGUACGAGGAGAUGAGUGCUUUAGGCUAGCCUGUGGGGUUGGAUAAUCUUGAUUAGAGCAGAGCUUCAUUUGUCACAUCCGUAGCAGAAUAUACUAACCAAUAGUUACGAUGUAGAGAAAAAA